UACGUAGGGGGCUAGCGUUAUCCGGAUUUACUGGGCGUAAAGGGUGCGUAGGCGGUCUUUUAAGUCGGGAGUGAAAGGCUACGGCUCAACCGUAAAAUUGCAGUUGAUACUGGUUUCCUUGAGUGCAGUUGAGGCAGGCGGAAUUCGUGGUGUAGCGGUGAAAUGCUUAGAUAUCACGAAGAACCCCGAUUGCGAAGGCAGCUUGCUAAACUGUAACUGACGUUCAUGCUCGAAAGUGUGGGUAUCAAACAGG
Molecule: ribosomal RNA, 253 nt
Filed under: Phocaeicola coprocola DSM 17136
Lineage: Bacteria; Pseudomonadati; Bacteroidota; Bacteroidia; Bacteroidales; Bacteroidaceae
Description: partial 16S ribosomal RNA
Rfam family: Bacterial small subunit ribosomal RNA
Source: RNAcentral